AUACGUAGGUGGCAAGCGUUGUCCGGAAUUAUUGGGCGUAAAGCGCGCGCAGGUGGUUCCUUAAGUCUGAUGUGAAAGCCCCCGGCUCAACCGGGGAGGGUCAUUGGAAACUGGGGAACUUGAGUGCAGAAGAGGAUAGUGGAAUUCCAAGUGUAGCGGUGAAAUGCGUAGAGAUUUGGAGGAACACCAGUGGAGAAGGCGACUUUCUGGUCUGUAACUGACACUGAGGCGCGAAAGCGUGGGGAGCAAACAGGAUUAGAUACCCUGGUAGUCCACGCCGUAAACGAUGAGUGCUAAGUGUUGGGGGGUUUCCGCCCCUCAGUGCUGCAGCUAACACAUUAAGCACUCCGCCUGGGGAGUACGGUCGCAAGACUGAAACUCAAAUGAAUUGACGGGG
Molecule: ribosomal RNA, 397 nt
Filed under: uncultured bacterium
Lineage: Bacteria
Description: partial 16S ribosomal RNA
Rfam family: Bacterial small subunit ribosomal RNA
Source: RNAcentral